UCCCCGCCUUAGGGAUUCUCACACGGUUCCACGGCUCCAGGCCCGGCGGCACCGCAGCCAUCAUGCGAGGCGGGGGGACUUACGAAAGGCGGAGCUACGCGAGAGCACGUCCAGCGACCGGAGGUAACACCUUGUGCAGCCGUAUGUACAUGGCAGCUGGUUGCAAUGUCCUUCCAGGAAUUCAUUCCUUCUGCAAACUAUUCUUAUGACCCUGAAGUUAUCUCCUUCUGCUUGACAAAGAAACAGUACAUCAGCAGUUUAUAAUUACAUUGUGGGAACAAGGAAUACUGGGCAAAAAGCGAGUGGUUAACAUGUACAAGCAAGCAAGGGCCUGUUCAAAAUUUUCAUUAUUUCAUGCACACACACACACACACACACACACAAAAAUGCUGGGGUGCUGAAAUCUCAAGCAGCUGAAAUCUCAAGGUUAUAUAGCUACAAAAUCCCUUCUCAGUGCAAGGUAACAUAUUUACAGAUUAUGGAAAUUAGCAUGUGAACAUCUUUGGGUGGGAGGUGGAGGGAUCUUUAUUCAGCCUACCACAGCCUCUCUCACAGAAUUUACCUCGCUUUAUUGUAUUUCUUUGUUUACUUUCAUGUCUAUUUCUCCAAUGGCAUAUGAACCUACUGAAAGCGAGAACUACCAUUGACAUAGCUAACUGGUCUUUCUAUCUCAAUGCUUAGUUCAGAGCCUGGCAUAUAGUAGGGCCUCAGUAGAUAUUUACUGGCUGUAUAUGAGGUUGGAUGAUGCUUGAAUAGAGUCUUUUGAAGGAUGAAUAGGAACUCCCCAGGCAGUUAAAGGAAAAAGGAUAUUCCUACAGAGAGGUUUUAAGCAGCAUGGGUUUGAAGAAUCACUAGUCCUGAGUUGGUACUGCUGGGACGUGAUUUGUGCUGAGGGGUGGAGCUGGGAAUAGUGGUGUCAGUCAGA
Molecule: long non-coding RNA, 925 nt
Filed under: Homo sapiens (human)
Lineage: Eukaryota; Metazoa; Chordata; Mammalia; Primates; Hominidae
Description: NEPRO antisense RNA 1
Source: RNAcentral